This 465-nucleotide ribosomal RNA is filed under the name uncultured bacterium. Its description in RNAcentral is "partial 16S ribosomal RNA". It matches the Rfam family "Bacterial small subunit ribosomal RNA", at positions 339 to 795 of the family's 1533-position model. The record is from RNAcentral.
CUACGGGACGCAGCAGUGGGGAAUAUUGGACAAUGGGGGAAACCCUGAUCCAGCAAUGCCGCGUGUGUGAAGAAGGCCUGCGGGUUGUAAAGCACUUUCGGUUGGGAGGACUGCUUCUAGCACUAAUAUUGUUGGAAGUUGACGUUACCUUCAGAAGAAGCACCGGCUAACUCCGUGCCAGCAGCCGCGGUAAUACGGGGGGUGCAAGCGUUAAUCGGAAUUACUGGGCGUAAAGCGCGCGUAGGCGGCUAGAUCAGUCGGGUGUGAAAGCCCCGGGCUUAACCUGGGAACUGCGUCCGAUACUGGCUAGCUUGAGUACAGGAGAGGAGAGUGGAAUUCCACAUGUAGCGGUGAAAUGCGUAGAUAUGUGGAGGAACACCAAUGGCGAAGGCAGCUCUCUGGCCUGAUACUGACGCUGAGGUGCGAAAGCGUGGGGAGCAAACAGGAUUAGAUACCCGGGUAGUC